Molecule: ribosomal RNA, 506 nt
Filed under: uncultured bacterium
Lineage: Bacteria
Description: partial 16S ribosomal RNA
Rfam family: Bacterial small subunit ribosomal RNA
Source: RNAcentral
AUUGAACGCUGGCGGCAGGCCUAACACAUGCAAGUCGAACGGCAGCACAGAAGAGCUUGCUCUUUGGGUGGCGAGUGGCGGACGGGUGAGUAAUGUCUGGGAAACUGCCCGAUGGAGGGGGAUAACUACUGGAAACGGUAGCUAAUACCGCAUAACGUCGCGAGACCAAAGUGGGGGACCUUCGGGCCUCACACCAUCGGAUGUGCCCAGACGGGAUUAGCUAGUAGGUGGGGUAAUGGCUCACCUAGGCGACGAUCCCUAGCUGGUCUGAGAGGAUGACCAGCGACACUGGAACUGAGACACGGUCCAGACUCCUACGGGAGGCAGCAGUGGGGAAUAUGGCACAAUGGGCGCAAGCCUGAUGCAGCCAUGCCGCGUGUAUGAAGAAGGCCUUCGGGUUGUAAAGUACUUUCAGCGGGGAGGAAGGCGGUGAGGUUAAUAACCUCGCCGAUUGACGUUACCCGCAGAAGAAGCACCGGCUAACUCCGUGCCAGCCGCCGCGGUAA